UACAGAGGUCUCAAGCGUUGUUCGGAUUCAUUGGGCGUAAAGGGUGCGCAGGCGGCUCGUUAAGUCGGAUGUGAAAUCUCACAGCCUAACUGUGAUAGGUCAUUCGAAACUGGCGGGCUUGAGGGCUGGAGAGGAGACUGGAAUAGUCGGUGUAGCGGUGAAAUGCGUAGAUAUCUGGAGGAACACCGGUGGCGAAGGCGGCAUUCUGGACCAAUUCUGACGCUGAGUGAGCGAAAGCCAGGGGAGCAAACGGG
This 254-nucleotide ribosomal RNA is filed under the name uncultured bacterium. Its description in RNAcentral is "partial 16S ribosomal RNA". It matches the Rfam family "Bacterial small subunit ribosomal RNA", at positions 524 to 776 of the family's 1533-position model. The record is from RNAcentral.